RNAcentral lists this ribosomal RNA (460 nucleotides) under uncultured bacterium. RNAcentral describes it as "partial 16S ribosomal RNA". It matches the Rfam family "Bacterial small subunit ribosomal RNA", at positions 338 to 795 of the family's 1533-position model. The record is from RNAcentral.
CCUACGGGCGGCAGCAGUGAGGAAUAUUGGUCAAUGGACGAGAGUCUGAACCAGCCAAGUAGCGUGAAGGAUGACUGCCCUCUGGGUUGUAAACUUCUUUUAUAAAGGAAUAAAACGAGGCACGUGUGCCUUUUUGCAUGUACUUUAUGAAUAAGGAUCGGCUAACUCCGUGCCAGCAGCCGCGGUAAUACGGAGGGUCCGAGCGUUAUCCGGAUUUAGUGGGUUUAAAGGGAGCGUAGAUGGGUUGUUAAGUCAGUUGUGAAAGUUUGCGGCUCAACCGUAAAAUUGCAAUUGAUACUGGCAGUCUUGAGUACAGGUGAGGUAAGCGGAAUUCGUGGUGUAGCGGUGAAAUGCUUAGAUAUCACGAAGAACCCCGAUGGCGAAGGCAGCUUACUAAACUGUGACUGAUAUUGAUGCUCGAAAGUGUGGGUAUCAAACAGGAUUAGAUACCCCUGUAGUC